CCUCCCUUUCCGGUAGCUGGGAACACACUAGUGUCACCACUCAGGCAUCUCCUUUGCCUUUGUUCACCAUAACUCUAAAAAUUUCUAUGUUGGGGCCUGGGCCAUCGCUCAACUGUCAGCUUGCUCACCUAGCAUGCAUGAGGCACUGGAUUCAAGCCUCGAACCACAUCCUGCAGCACCAGAGCUUCAGGUCCAAAGCACUGGUAUCAUCUCUGACUCAGGGCCAUGUUAGUCCUAGCCCCAGGAGCAACCCCAAGCAACAAGGCAGAAAACAGUGAAGAACCUCACUUUCCAGGAAUUCCUCUGAAGGUGGAGAGAUGGCCAGGAAACCCACACGCAGCUAACACACCAAAGGAUGAAGCAAGAGUGCUGGAAUGUAGCUUGGUAUUAAAGGAUGUGCCUGAUGCCUGGGGUGUGCAAGGUCCUGUGUUUGAUUACAGCCAAGAGCUGGGGGGGGGGGUGUCACUAAUAAAACCUGUUACUUUGAUCUUCGAGGUAGUCAGGUGCAAUAAAAAUAUCCCCUGAAAACGUAUAACCACAAACUAGCCUUCACAUUGGUUUGUGACCUAAUUCACAUAGCCUGUGUUUUCUGAGAAACCCCAGAUGAUUUAUUUUUAAAUGACUCCAGAGUAGAUGUAACAUUGCUACCCAAACCCUCAAAGACCACACAAAGAGAACCAAAAGACCAGCCUGACUUAGAAACAUCAAUGCAAAAACAUUAAGUAAAAUGCAAAGAAAUGGAUAUCAAUGCAAAAACAUUAAGUAAAAUGCAAAGAAAUGGAAUUGAGGGACACAUUCCCAAAGGAACUGUGAGCUUUGAUAUAUGAGUGAGAAAAAUGGUCCAUUAUCAAAGUCUAGGUAUGUUAUAGCCAAGCUUGAUGGUUCAUGCAUAAACCCAGGACUUGGAAGGCUAAGAAAAGGUGAUUGCGGAAUUUAGAGGCCAGCCUGGGCUACAUAGCAAGAUCCUGUCUCAAAACAAUCAAACUUAUGGAAAUCUUGGUAUUUUCAUGUCUUAAGAGAAAAAUGGUGUGAUCUUAGUUGAUAUUAAUUUGGGAGGGAAGGGGCUUUCUUUCUUUUUUUAGGUUUAUUUAUUAUGUAUACAGUGUUCUGUCUGUCUGUAUGUCUGCAGGGCAGAAGAGGGCACCAGAUCUCAUUACAGAUGGUUGCGAGCCACCAUGUGGUUGCUGGGAAUUGAACUCAGGAAGAGCAGCCAGUGCUCUUAACCACUGAGCCAUCUCUCCAGCCCCUGGGAGGGGGCUUUCUUGAUUUAAGAAAAUCCCCAUGAAAUAUGCAGAACUUCCUCAUAGGUAUUUAUUUAUUAGUCCAGACCCUACCUUAUUUAUUUAUUAUUUUCAUUAUUCUUUGACAUAUAUGGGUGCUUUGACUGUAUGUAUGUGGGCACUCCAUGCAUUCUUGGUGCCUGCUAAGGUCAAAAGGGGAUGCUGGAAACCCCAGGACUGGCGUUACAGACAGUUUUGUUGCUCUGUGGUUAUUGGGAACAGAACCUGGG
This 1510-nucleotide long non-coding RNA is filed under the name Cricetulus griseus (Chinese hamster). RNAcentral's name for it is "lncRNA (ENSCGRG00015031864.1)". Lineage: Eukaryota; Metazoa; Chordata; Mammalia; Rodentia; Cricetidae. The record is from RNAcentral.